GCGAGGAAACCCGCUGAACUUAAGCAUAUCACUAAGCGAGGAAA
Molecule: ribosomal RNA, 44 nt
Filed under: Caulerpa sertularioides f. longipes
Lineage: Eukaryota; Viridiplantae; Chlorophyta; Ulvophyceae; Bryopsidales; Caulerpaceae
Description: partial 28S ribosomal RNA
Source: RNAcentral